CGGUGAAUACAGGUCUGGAAGUCUGAGG
RNAcentral lists this non-coding RNA (28 nucleotides) under Homo sapiens (human). The record is from RNAcentral. Lineage: Eukaryota; Metazoa; Chordata; Mammalia; Primates; Hominidae.